UUUUGCAAGUUGGAAAUCUCGAAAUAAGGGAGCUAAAUUUAUAUUAUUUUUUUUGUAGCAAUAAAAUUAUAAAUAUAGAUUUAGAAAUUAAAUGUUAAACGAACUUAUUAAUAUCUAGUUUUUUUAGAAAUAAAUUUAAUUUAGAUAUAAUUAUUUUAGUAAAUUAAAUUUUAUUUUAAUUUAUUAAUUUUUAUAUUAAAAAUUUAUGGGAUAAUCUAUAAAUUUAAGAUAAAAAUUUAAUUUUAAUUUUUAAUGUUAUAGAGAUAAUAUUUUUCUUUAAUUUUAAUAAUUUAAUAAUUUAAUAUUUAUAAAUUAAUAAUGAUUUAAAUUUAUAUUUUAUUUUUCUAUAAAAAUUUAUAUUUUAAUUAAUAAAAUAUAGAAAUAAUGAUUAGAUUAGUAAUAAAGUUAUAUUUUAUAAUGAUAUUUUGUAUUAUAUAAUUUAAAGGAAUUCGGCAAAUAUAUUAUUCACCUGUUUAUCAAAAACAUGUCCUGUUGAUUAUAAUUUUAGGUCGAUCUGCUCAAUGAAUUAUUUUAAAUAGCUGCAGUAUGUUGACUGUACAAAGGUAGCAUAAUAAAUUGUCUUUUAAUUGAAGAAUUGUAUGAAAGAAUUAAUGAAAUAAUAACUGUCUCUAAAUUAUUAAAUGAAUUUAAAUUUUUAGUUAAAAUUCUAAAAUUUAAUUAUGGGACGAUAAGACCCUAUAGAAUUUAAUUUAAUUUUUAAAUUUAUUUAUAAUUUUAAUAAAUAUAUUUAAGAUUAAAUUUGAUUGGGAGGAUUGGUAAAUUUAAUAAACUUUAUUUAAGAUUUAAUUUUGAUAUAAAGAUAAUUUUUUGAAUUAUAAAUUGUAAUUAAAAGAAUAAAUUACCUUAGGGAUAACAGCGUAAUAUCUUUUGAUAGACCAUAUAGAUAAAGAUGUUUGACCCCCCCCAAUGUUGGACCAAUAAUAAUUUUAUUUUUUUUUUCUUUUUUUCAAACAAAGAAA
Molecule: ribosomal RNA, 980 nt
Filed under: Apis mellifera carnica (Carniolan honeybee)
Lineage: Eukaryota; Metazoa; Arthropoda; Insecta; Hymenoptera; Apidae
Description: partial 16S ribosomal RNA
Source: RNAcentral